This 97-nucleotide microRNA precursor is filed under the name Loxodonta africana (African savanna elephant). RNAcentral describes it as "mir-544 microRNA precursor family". It matches the Rfam family "mir-544 microRNA precursor family". Lineage: Eukaryota; Metazoa; Chordata; Mammalia; Proboscidea; Elephantidae. The record is from Rfam by way of RNAcentral.
AUCACCUGGGGAUUGUGUUAAAAUGCAGAUUUGGAGUCAUUAGGGCUGCUUAGGGCCUGAGAUUCUGCAUUUCUAACAAGCACCCAGGUGAUGUUGA